AACAAUGCGAAGGUCAAGUGGAUAUAAAGAUCACUGGCCCCAAAUUGGAAGACAUCUUUUCAAAUAGAAAAGGAACUAUAGAAUGUCAUGUCACAAUAAAUAAGCCAUCUGUCGAAAAGAUAUUCUGGGAGGACCACAACGGAAAGGAAAUGGCUGAUGCCUCAAUGACCCCCCCUAAAGGAAGUAAAGGCCCAUUCACCCUGCCACUUGAAAUCUCUUAUGAUGAAUGGAGCAAGGGGGUGAAACGCGUCUGCAUUGUUGAACACACAGAGGUGAUUGACCAAGUAAAGCAACUCUAUCAAAGGAGAAAUGUUAGCCAGGAGUGGAUUUUCCCAAGUCCAGGACAUCCGGAGUUCAUGAUUAAAAUGGACUACCAGUGGAACAGUACCAUCGAGGCAGAAGAUGACAUGGGGAGAAUAGCCCUCACCUUCAUCCUUCUCUUCAUCAUCACUCUGAUGUUCACCAUUGCAACCACUGCUUUCAAGGUUAAAUGAAACAAGGAGAACUUUCUGUACAAAACUGUUUUUCACACAUUUUUCUUAUAAACUCAUAGUUUGAUGUAAGUAAUCACAGCUGUCCUUUUUUCCAUUCUUAUUACAAGAGCUUUAUGUAAUUUUGAAAAUAAAUGUUUAAAUGAACAUAA
Non-coding RNA from Micropterus dolomieu (smallmouth bass), 643 nucleotides. The record is from the annotation of a RefSeq genome assembly. Lineage: Eukaryota; Metazoa; Chordata; Actinopteri; Centrarchiformes; Centrarchidae.